This 908-nucleotide ribosomal RNA is filed under the name Pseudomonas sp. RNAcentral describes it as "bacterial SSU rRNA". It matches the Rfam family "Bacterial small subunit ribosomal RNA", at positions 1 to 910 of the family's 1533-position model. The record is from RNAcentral. Lineage: Bacteria; Pseudomonadati; Pseudomonadota; Gammaproteobacteria; Pseudomonadales; Pseudomonadaceae.
UUAGAGUUUGAUCAUGGCUCAGAUUGAACGCUGGCGGCAGGCCUAACACAUGCAAGUCGAGCGGAUGACGGGAGCUUGCUCCUUGAUUCAGCGGCGGACGGGUGAGUAAUGCCUAGGAAUCUGCCUGGUAGUGGGGGACAACGUUUCGAAAGGAACGCUAAUACCGCAUACGUCCUACGGGAGAAAGCAGGGGACCUUCGGGCCUUGCGCUAUCAGAUGAGCCUAGGUCGGAUUAGCUAGUUGGUGGGGUAAUGGCUCACCAAGGCGACGAUCCGUAACUGGUCUGAGAGGAUGAUCAGUCACACUGGAACUGAGACACGGUCCAGACUCCUACGGGAGGCAGCAGUGGGGAAUAUUGGACAAUGGGCGAAAGCCUGAUCCAGCCAUGCCGCGUGUGUGAAGAAGGUCUUCGGAUUGUAAAGCACUUUAAGUUGGGAGGAAGGGCAGUAAGUUAAUACCUUGCUGUUUUGACGUUACCGACAGAAUAAGCACCGGCUAACUCUGUGCCAGCAGCCGCGGUAAUACAGAGGGUGCAAGCGUUAAUCGGAAUUACUGGGCGUAAAGCGCGCGUAGGUGGUUCGUUAAGUUGGAUGUGAAAGCCCCGGGCUCAACCUGGGAACUGCAUCCAAAACUGGCGAGCUAGAGUACGGUAGAGGGUGGUGGAAUUUCCCGUGUAGCGGUGAAAUGCGUAGAUAUAGGAAGGAACACCAGUGGCGAAGGCGACCACCUGGACUGAUACUGACACUGAGGUGCGAAAGCGUGGGGAGCAAACAGGAUUAGAUACCCUGUAGUCCACGCCGUAACGAUGUCACUAGCCGUUGGAAUCCUUGAGAAUUUUAGUGGCGCAGCUACCGCAUUAAGUUUGACCGCCUGGGAGUACCGGCCGCAAGGUUAAAACUCAAUGAAUU